Molecule: long non-coding RNA, 1066 nt
Organism: Cyprinus carpio carpio
Lineage: Eukaryota; Metazoa; Chordata; Actinopteri; Cypriniformes; Cyprinidae
Source: Ensembl
CCAAAAUCAUGUGACAUAUUCAACUGUUAUUGAUCUUUGUUUUAAAGGAAUAGUUCACCCCAAAAUAAAAAUCUGCUGAAAAUGUCCUCACAUUUAGGUCAUCUAAGAUGUAGAUGCGUUUGUUUCUUCAUCAGAUUUGGAGAAAUGUAGCAUUGCAUCACUUGCUCAGCAAUGGAUGCUCUGCAGUGAAUGGGUGCCGUGAGAAACAGCUGAUAAAAACAUCACAGUAAUCCACAAGUAAUCCACACCACUCCAGUCCAUCAGCUAACAUCUUGUGAAGCCAAAAGAAACAAAUCCAUCAUUAAGACUUUUUAACUUCAGACUUCUGGCCAAAAUCCAUAAUAAUGCUCCCUCCAGUGAAAAAGUUCAUCCCCUGUUGUCUCUCACACCGAAAUCCACCCACAUAUUUGUUAAUCAAAACGGUGUUUUGAUCUAUGCAGAUUUCUUUCCUGAUUCAGAUCAGACCACUUUUGGAUUUGUUUCUUACAAACAUGCAGCUUUUUGCUUCACGAGAUCUUAACUGAUGGACUGGAGUGGUGUGGAUUAUUGGUAUGUUUGUAUCAGCUGUUUGGACUCUCAUUCUGACGGCACCCAUUCACUGCAGAGCAUUCGCUGAUGAACAAGUGAUGAAAUGCUACAUAUCUCCAAAUCUGAUGAUGAAACAAACUCAUCUACAUCUUGGAUGGCCUGAGGGUAUGGUUUUAAAGAUUGCUGAUAAUUACCUCAGUGUCGGGCUCUUUUCUCUUGGACUCUGUUUCUCUGUUUGCUGAUGCUCUGGCUCCGUCCUCCACCUCAGGACACAGGCUGCUCUGCCGAGACGUUGAGUACUGAGCAGAGAUGUUAGACAGCUGUCUCAUGGCCUGAAGCCUGAGAAACUGCUGUUGACUCAGUGAGAUGUAGUGGAAGUUGUGCUGCUCGGCGUUCAGCAGGUAACCAGGAAGCGAUAACCUCUUGAACUCCUGCAGCGAGGAAGCAGGGACGUGUUAUUAAACAGCAGGGAAGAACAUGAUCUCGUUCCUGACCUUUGCUGAGGAGUCUUAUCACCAAUAAUAGAGGUCAUCACAUG